GAUGAACGCUGGCGGCGUGCCUAAUACAUGCAAGUCGAGCGAACGGACGAGAAGCUUGCUGCUCUGAUGUUAGCGGCGGACGGGUGAGUAACACGUGUAUAACCUACCUAUAAUACUGGGAUAACUUGGGGAAACCGUAGCUAAUACCGGAUAAUCUUUUGAACCGUAUGGUUCAAUAGUGAAAGACGGUGUUGCUGUCACGUAUAGAUGGAUCCGCGCUGCAUGAGUUAGUUGGUAAGUUAACGGCUUACGAGGGCAACGAUGCAUAGCCGAGCCGAGGGGGGGUACGGCCACACAGAAGCUGACCGGCGACCCAGAGACCUACGGACGGCAGAGACUGCGACGCUUGCGAGAUGGGCGAAAGACUGACGGAGGAACGCAGCGCGGGUGAUGAAGCUCUUCGGGUCGUAAAACUCUGUUAUUAGGGAAGACCAUAUGUGCAAGUGACGUGCACAUCUUGACGGUACCUGAUCAGAAAGCAACGGCUAACUACGUG
This 496-nucleotide ribosomal RNA is filed under the name uncultured bacterium. Its description in RNAcentral is "partial 16S ribosomal RNA". It matches the Rfam family "Bacterial small subunit ribosomal RNA", at positions 28 to 507 of the family's 1533-position model. The record is from RNAcentral.